RNAcentral lists this transfer RNA (76 nucleotides) under Ruminococcus sp. Its description in RNAcentral is "tRNA-Thr". It matches the Rfam family "tRNA". From Rfam's summary of the family: Transfer RNA (tRNA) molecules are approximately 80 nucleotides in length. Lineage: Bacteria; Bacillati; Bacillota; Clostridia; Eubacteriales; Oscillospiraceae. RNAcentral also lists the same sequence under 8 other names. The record is from RNAcentral.
GCUGCUAUGGCUCAGGUGGCAGAGCACAUCCUUGGUAAGGAUGAGGUCACCAGUUCGAAUCUGGUUAGCAGCUCCA